This is a non-coding RNA of Pelobates cultripes (western spadefoot toad), 236 nucleotides long. The record is from the annotation of a GenBank genome assembly. Lineage: Eukaryota; Metazoa; Chordata; Amphibia; Anura; Pelobatidae.
CCCUUAACCUAGACCCGGUUGUUUGGUGGGUUUAAGAGCUCCCACCCCCAGGGAUAGUGUAUGUGUCUGGGUGUCGUUUAUUUUUAUUUUUCUUACAUACUUUUAGUUUUCAUGUGCACAUUUUCCAGUUCAAAUUGGUACACAUCUUGUGUCAGUGUUGGGGGCCCCACACUGUGUGUUUCUGGACUUUGAUCUGGACAUAUUGUUGCUGUGAUACAUUUAUCAUUACUGUAUCC